AGCAAAACUGUUCUCACCCUGCUAAAUGCACUGAAAACUUGCCAGCUGGGGUAUACACUGGCCUCUUGAGAAAUCGGGGAGUCCAAGACCACAGCUGAGACCCGGAUCUCCUCUCCACCAGCUGCCAGGCUGACGGGAGUCCCGGGGAGUCAGGAGCGAAUUUGUCAGGGGAAAGGCUGCUGCGGGCAGCCUCUGGGCAGCCUGCCAACAGCCCCUUCUGGCAACACUCCAUCUGUCUGAGAGUUGAAGAUCAAGCCUCAGGUGAGCAGGGCCUGAGGAGAAGACAGAGAAGGACGAUGGCACAGUGAUCACCAAGCCCAGGGGAGGUGAACUCAGCAUGGAACACAGAGGUCCAGAGCCACUGGGAAGAUGGGAGGUGAUGGAGGACUGGACAUCGAGAAAGUCAGCACCUGCAUGGAAACCCUGAGAUGGGUGUGUGUGUGUGUCUGUGUAGACAGCCCUGGAGAGGUCUAGGGGGUGCGGAAGAUUAAUGCAAAGACCAGGAGCUCUUACUGUGGGUGAAUAGAGGACUUCCAGGCAUAGAUCUCCAAAGCAGAGAUGAGAACAGUUAACCAUAGAGAGAAAAUGGUUGAGCUGGCAUCUGAACCGCCAACCUCAGCCGACUCGUGUCUGGAAUCUGGGCUCCUAACCACUGUGCCGUCCGGUCACCCUUAUAUGGCUCAGCGCCCUUAGGACUUAAAGAAAAAGGCUACCUGCUAUUAUUACCUCUGCUGUACAGAGGAGGAACUGAGGACUGGAGAGGCUAAAGGAUCUUGCCCCUUAGGUGGCCCGGCUGGCAUCUAAACUCGUCUCCUACUUGAAUGAGGGCCAGGGAGGGAAAGGCUUGGCCUGGCCACCUGCAUCCCCCACUUAAGCUUGAGUCCACUUCGGAAAGUUCAAAGGCAAAAUGACCCCAUGGCUUGAACUGGGAGCUAGAAAGAUGUUCGCACCAUCUUCCACGUCAUCAUUUUAGAUGGCUGCCUAAUAGUCUAUCAAACAAUGUCUCGUAAUUUAUUUCAGCAGUCCCUAUUCGGAGGCAGUUUUUCACUGGUAGAAGUAGCCCUGCAGUGAACAUUCUUGUAAAUUAUCUUUUCCAAUAAUCCAGUGUACAGCCGAGAAGUUUUUAUUCUCCACUAGUUAAUUGUGUGGUGUUCAGAGUAUAGGAGAGAGCCAAGCAGACUCCUGGGGCCUGACAUGAGACCCUGCCCUUGGCCACUUAGAACCCUGGUGCCAUGUGUUCAUAAUUUCCCUUUCUUGUCAGAUAGGCCAGUUCGUCCGCGUCCAGCACUGGGUUCCAUCUAUCUUUCUGCUCUCUGAUGAGCUUCAGCCCAAGAAGAAACCUUUCUGGGGCCGCAAGGUCAGCCACGGCUGCCUCUCCUACUGGCACAUUAUGCAAAAAAUGCUUCUUCAGGGCCUCCACUGGGCCCCUGCUCUCCAGAGAGUGGCGUUUAGAGCCACGUGGAGCCUUCACCCCCCCUGCUGUCUGGAAAUCCUUAUGCAGGCUCCUGGCUUCCUUCGGUUUACCUGUCAGUCCGCGCUUAUCUCUUACUGGGUGGGCAGUUUUUGUGCUGGCAGGAGUCUGACACAGUUCCGCAAAUUGCCCUUUUAUGUUUUUAACUAGAGCCGAGGUUUUUAAUUAGGGGACAUGAAUGUUGGAGGGGGCAGGACACAAACCCCUUGAACUAGUGUGCGAAGUCUAUGUGUGUGCAUCUUUCUAGCAAGAGUUGCUGAUUUUCAUUCCAUUUCCAAAGGGGUCUGGGACCCACCGAAGGGUCCCCACCACGCCUGGAGCAUGUGGGGAGCCUGAGUGGCCGCCAGACCAGACAUUGCACUCUCUGCCCUUUUGAAGACUUUUCUGACCAAGAAUGUCUGCUUCCCCACUCCUUUCUUUCUCUUCCUGCCCCAGCGGACCACUCAUCAGACAGACUUGCUUUUAGAGCUCAGUGAGUGGCGGCUGAUGGCAGCUUGUAGAAGAGACACGUCACCUUAGCUUGGUUGGAUCCCCUGCUUGCUCCCCACCCACGGGCUGAGGUUCAAAUCCUAGCCGCAAAAAAAAAAAAAAAAAAAAAAAAAAGUCACGAAUUACUUCCUGAAGUCAUGGGUUUCUCAUGACCAGUGAAAACUUGAAAUACCAAGAGCUUGCUGUAUCGCUCACCUUCUCUCUUUUUAACUACAUAGUGUAUUUGCUGGCUAGGGCCGCCGUAACAAAGCACCAUACACUGGGGGGCUUACACUGCAGAAAUUUAUUUUGCACAGUUCUGGAGGCUAGAAGUCCAAGAUCAAGGUGUCAGCAGGGUUGCUUUCUUCUGAGGCUUCUCUCUGGGGCUCGUAGACAGCAGUCUUCUCCCUGUGUCCUCACAUGGUCUCCCUCUGUGCAAAUCUGUGUCCUACUCUCCUCUUAUAAGGACACCAGUCAAACUAGAUUAGGCCCCACCCGUGUGAUCUUGUUUUACCUUAAUUACCUCUUUAAUGCAGUCACAUUCUGAACUACUGGGGGUAGGUCUGCAACAGAUGAAUUUUGAGGGAUGCGAUUCCACCCAUAACACGCUAUGUUACAUUUUUAUGAUUAUAAAAGUAAGAUAUGUUCCCCAGAGAAAAUUUGGAAAC
This 2607-nucleotide long non-coding RNA is filed under the name Equus asinus (donkey). RNAcentral's name for it is "lncRNA (ENSEASG00005035062.1)". Lineage: Eukaryota; Metazoa; Chordata; Mammalia; Perissodactyla; Equidae. The record is from RNAcentral.